This 510-nucleotide ribosomal RNA is filed under the name Bacillus cereus. Its description in RNAcentral is "bacterial SSU rRNA". It matches the Rfam family "Bacterial small subunit ribosomal RNA", at positions 1017 to 1527 of the family's 1533-position model. RNAcentral also lists the same sequence under 1 other name. The record is from RNAcentral. Lineage: Bacteria; Bacillati; Bacillota; Bacilli; Caryophanales; Bacillaceae.
CCUUCGGGAGCAGAGUGACAGGUGGUGCAUGGUUGUCGUCAGCUCGUGUCGUGAGAUGUUGGGUUAAGUCCCGCAACGAGCGCAACCCUUGAUCUUAGUUGCCAUCAUUAAGUUGGGCACUCUAAGGUGACUGCCGGUGACAAACCGGAGGAAGGUGGGGAUGACGUCAAAUCAUCAUGCCCCUUAUGACCUGGGCUACACACGUGCUACAAUGGACGGUACAAAGAGCUGCAAGACCGCGAGGUGGAGCUAAUCUCAUAAAACCGUUCUCAGUUCGGAUUGUAGGCUGCAACUCGCCUACAUGAAGCUGGAAUCGCUAGUAAUCGCGGAUCAGCAUGCCGCGGUGAAUACGUUCCCGGGCCUUGUACACACCGCCCGUCACACCACGAGAGUUUGUAACACCCGAAGUCGGUGGGGUAACCUUUUUGGAGCCAGCCGCCUAAGGUGGGACAGAUGAUUGGGGUGAAGUCGUAACAAGGUAGCCGUAUCGGAAGGUGCGGCUGGAUCACC